This is a long non-coding RNA of Mastomys coucha (southern multimammate mouse), 685 nucleotides long. RefSeq lists it as uncharacterized. Lineage: Eukaryota; Metazoa; Chordata; Mammalia; Rodentia; Muridae. The transcript has 2 exons. The record is from RefSeq and is a predicted model, not a curated record.
AAUAGGAGGCUGGUGGUUGCUUCCUAAUUAACGAAGCACUUGCUGCGUCUAGCCCCCCAAAACCCCCGUUUCGUCUCCUUGAGGAAGAUGGACCCCAGUGAGCAUAAGGCACCAAGGGCUUCAGGACAGCGGAUCCUCCUGAACGCUGACAACCCCCGGGCAUCAUUUUGCGAUGGUCCCUCUUCGUUCGUCACCGGUGACGUCAUCCUCGCUCCCCUCACGUCAGCUGCUCAAUGACCCUCUGCACAGUCGCAUGUCCCCGUUAGGGGUGGUGGCACCCCACCUUCCUGCCCCCAGAAGCAAGAAUUGCUCUUCUGAGGAGCGGAGCGUCAGCCCUCACAUCUGCUGUUUCCUCUGCCAACCACUCUCCAGAAGCCUCCCUCCCGGCCCCCCCCUCCCCGGGCGACAGCACAGCCAGCGGGCGGGCAUCUUCCAUCUGUACCAUGCUUCCAUCCGUCUGGCUGUGCGUCAGCCAUGGUACCAUCGCUCGGGCUUCAGAUCUCUAAAGGGCACUUUAUUCCGAACCCUGGUGUGUGUCUGAGGCUAAGCCUCAUUUUUUUUUUUGAAAGAAGCAGGAUCCUGUGGUGAACACACUCACGCUGGAAGAGGGGGCCAGCGAUGUUGUUUGGCAAAUUAUGGGCUUUCUUUUAUUGCAAUUAAAAAGUAAAAAAGCCCACCAGGAAAA